AUGUAGGACAUUUCCUUUUGAUGAUCUAUGCCUAAAGCUGCUGACUGUAUUCCUGCUUAUUUGAUUAGAUGCUGAAGUUGCAGAUUCUAAGUCGAGAAGAUUGGUAAAGUCAACAAGCAUUAAGAACUGUGAAUCAGGCUGUUGGACCUGUAAUUCGUCACCGCUAUGAUUAUAGCACAAUUAUUUUCUGUGAUUAAAGGUCUUCAAAUUCAAAUUCUCAGUUCCAAAUAUCACUCUGGAUACAGACUCAUAUCAAGUGUCAUUCCAAAUUUGGGGAUGUGGUUUUACAUUGAGCUGCUUUUUUCGAGAUGGAGGAGUGCAGGUUCCCACAAAACUUAAGUCAAUACAAAGUGAAGACAUUGGUAAAAUAUCUUUGUGCUAAAUGAUAUUACUAGUUUAUUGUUACUAUGCUUUCUGUCUGUAGCUCUGUUCUGUUUGUUUAAUAAUAUUGGCAGUUUCUGUUUGCCAUUGGUGAGCUGCCCUACUGAUAUGGAACCCUGGGUGCUCGUUCCUGAAACCAGAAUAAUAUAUUUCAACCAAAAACAAAAUAUGCUUGUAGAGGCUUGAACCUAUGCAGUGGAAAGAUAUCUCAUUCUUUUUCAUUGUUGAAUUAAGUCUUCCAUUCUUGUCUUUUAAACAAAAACAAUUUAUGCCUUGACUUGGUGAUGUCUUUGGUGCAGAAAGUGCCAGGGAGGUGAAAACUUCACAAUCUGUGGACUAAUUUU
Hevea brasiliensis (rubber tree) is the source of this 725-nucleotide long non-coding RNA. RefSeq lists it as uncharacterized. The transcript has 3 exons. Lineage: Eukaryota; Viridiplantae; Streptophyta; Magnoliopsida; Malpighiales; Euphorbiaceae. The record is from RefSeq and is a predicted model, not a curated record.